This 1875-nucleotide ribosomal RNA is filed under the name Triticum aestivum (bread wheat). Its description in RNAcentral is "partial small subunit ribosomal RNA". The record is from RNAcentral. Lineage: Eukaryota; Viridiplantae; Streptophyta; Magnoliopsida; Poales; Poaceae.
AUGGGGGAGCGCGGCGGGGGGCGAUUCGGAGGGUGGCGGGACAAUAUGGCGCGGGGCGGAUUCGGCGGGGGGCGCAAGGCUCCGCUGCCAAAUCAGCCCCGCCAUAUGGUCUGGCAGCGCCCAGAUCCACCACCACCGGCGACCGGGAGCUCGAGAUCUGACGGUGGCGAGGCCGGAGACAGAUGGGAAGCUGCCGCGCGGGCCAUGAGUGGCGCGGCCAAGGAGAAGUCGACAGGGGCUAAGGAGCCAUCUCCGCAACCCCCGCCUCCACUUCCACCGGCUGGACAAGCUGCAACCAAAAUUAUCAAUGAGAUCUGCGUCAACUGCUCCCUCCCAGGUCACUUUGCUCCUCGCUGCCCUACUAUUCGUUGUGAGAAGUGCAACAAGCUAGGUCACAUGGCUCAACUAUGCCAAACUCUGAGGCCCUGGGAAUGCGUACCUCUCAUGUGCGGAUUCCAGUCUCCUGGUCAGGGUUUUUUCUAUAUUCCUGAUAUGUGCAUCACCAAGCAGAGUACAGAAAAAACUAACAAUGUAGUGAUCACUAUUGUGGAAGGGGUAGCAUCUGUGAAAGAGAUUGAGCAUGAAUUCAAUGCCAUCUUUGCAAAAAAACCUGGUAAGAAGAAAUGGCGCUGUACGGCUCGUCCCAUUGGCCCUAACAAGUUUGUGAUGCGCUUCCCUAAUGCUAGUGAGGUGGAGAGGGCUUGCUGUUAUGGGAAACGUAUGCCUUUGAUGGAAGGGGCUGUGGUGGUUUGUAUUACACCCUGGACGGCAUCUAUAGGGGCAAAAGGAAUAUUAGAAAAAGCGUGGGUGAGGGUUCGUAACAUUCCUAUAGAAAAAAGAUGUGCUGAACAUGCAGCUUAUGCUGGGGCUUUGGUGGGGAUAACACUUGAGGUUGAUGAAUCUACAAUUCAUAAACCUGAGUAUGUCAGGAUCCUGCUGGGGUGCAGAGAGGUGGAAAGAAUUCCCCCCUCGGCCGAAGGAAUGCUUGGGGAGCAAUAUUAUGAUUUCUUUUAUGAAGUUGAGAAAACUGUAACAUCAGGGGCUAGCAAGGCCCAGUCCUCUAUUGCAGUUGACAGCAGUGCAUCUCCUUCCUUCCCCAAGAAAGCCAGGAUGGGAUCUUAUCCUGCUGAUUCUAUGGGGCAGGGGGAAACAAGUGCUUCCAUGGUUGGUACAUAUUCAUCUCAAAAUUAUGACAAAGGGGGGCAGAGGUUGGCUGUAGUGGCUGAAAGUGAAGAAGAAGAAGAAAGUGAUGAUGGUAAUCAUACAGAACUGCUUAUUGAAACCAUGGCUAGAGAGCAUGCUGAUGAGAAAAUGGUUCAUUGUGACCCUCUUAAUGGGGGCGUUGUUUGUGGAAAAAAUCAAGAGGAGAUGGGGAAAGAUGAGAUGGCUGGAGCUCUCACCCAUGAUGUCAGGGUUCAAAAAGGUGCUUGGGGAAUUUUGACUCCUAUUCCUCCUUCACCCCUCUAUCUCCAAUAUGAAGACACAACUUAUGGGGGUGUUAUCUCUCCUCUGGCAGAUUAUGUCACAUGGCCAUCCCUUCCUCAUAUUGUUCCUCUUGAGGAAGGAUCUAUGGAAGGGGGAGAGAACUACAGUUCUUACACAGUCGAGUCCCCAUCGGGGUCACCAAUUCAGGAUAAAAUGGUGGGGGAGGAAUAUGCACCACGGAGACAGAUGCAGAAGCUGGAAAAAAUAGAGGAGGUGGCCACCAACAGGAUGAGGAAGCGAGACGCAGAAGGUUUGCUCAAGGCAGAAGACAAGGUGAAGCUUAAGGAUGGCGUGAAGAGAUUGGCGCACGCAGCUGCUGUGCUGGCGGAUAGGCCCUUUCCUCGAGACAGGCUCCGGUUGGGCGACAGGGAUGGAAUCCAGAUUGGUUAG